AUUUAACCUCUCUGUGCCUCAACUUCUUCAUGUAAACUGGCAGUAAUAAUAAUACGAAUGCCACAGAGCUGUGGAUGAAAUGAGCCCAUUCCGGUCUGGCUUCUUUAACCAGGAAGAUGUGGGCUGAGAGCUGUGGAGUAGAUGUCUUCACCAGAUGAGUACACAGAGAAGUAGAGAAUGUGUAUCUGCAGAGUAGGAUGAAGCAGAGACAAGGUGGGAUGGGAGAGAGACAGGGGCUGCAGGACAACCCUACCAUCAAUACACCCAACAGUCGCCAUCCUACCCCACUUAUUUAUUCACUUAGUAACACUAAUUACUCUCUAAAAAUACUUGACUAUUUAUUUGUGUAUCUACACCCACAGGAAUGGAUGUAAGUGCUAUGAGGGCAGGAAGAUUGUUUUUCCUACCACUGAAUUCCCAGGACCUCAAUCAAUGCUUGGUAUAUAGUGGGCACUCCAUAAACAUUGGCCGAAUAAAUGAAUUCUAUUUACUUGUUCACAAUUGUAGGGGAGGAAAAAAUUAUGUUCCUUCUAUCCAUCUUAAAUUCAUUGGCUGAGGCCCCA
This 563-nucleotide long non-coding RNA is filed under the name Homo sapiens (human). Its description in RNAcentral is "non-protein coding lnc-USO1-1:2". The record is from RNAcentral. Lineage: Eukaryota; Metazoa; Chordata; Mammalia; Primates; Hominidae.